ACGGGAGGCAGCAGUGGGGAAUAUUGGGCAAUGGGCGAAAGCCUGACCCAGCGACGCCGCGUGAGGGAAGAAGGUCUUCGGAUUGUAAACCUUAAACAACGGGGACGAAACAAAUGACGGUACCCGUUAGGAAGCCACGGCUAACUACGUGCCAGCAGCCGCGGUAAUACGUAGGUGGCAAGCGUUAUCCGGAUUUACUGGGUGUAAAGGGUGUGUAGGCGGGCAGGCAAGUCAGAUGUGAAAUCUUUUGGCUCAACCAAAAGACUGCGUCUGAAACUGCAGGUCUUGAGUGUCGGAGGGGUAGAUGGAAUUUCCAGUGUAGCGGUGAAAUGCGUAGAUAUUGGAAAGAACACCGGUGGCGAAGGCGAUCUACUGGACGAUAACUGACGCUGAUACACGAAAGUGUGGGGAGCAAACAGGAUUAGAUACCCUGGUA
This 436-nucleotide ribosomal RNA is filed under the name uncultured Oscillospiraceae bacterium. RNAcentral describes it as "partial 16S ribosomal RNA". It matches the Rfam family "Bacterial small subunit ribosomal RNA", at positions 341 to 792 of the family's 1533-position model. Lineage: Bacteria; Bacillati; Bacillota; Clostridia; Eubacteriales; Oscillospiraceae. The record is from RNAcentral.